This 221-nucleotide long non-coding RNA is filed under the name Mytilus galloprovincialis (Mediterranean mussel). Lineage: Eukaryota; Metazoa; Mollusca; Bivalvia; Mytilida; Mytilidae. The record is from RNAcentral.
UGAAAAUUUCAGGGCAGAUAGAUCUUGACUUGCAAAACAAUUAAACCCCAUUUCUGAAUUGCUCUUAAUUCUUUGGUUUCCGAGUAAUAAGCCAAAAUCUACAUUUUACCCCUAUGUUCUAUUUUUAGCCAUGGUGGCCAUCAUGGUUGGUUGGCAGGGUCACUGCACACAUUUUUAAAACUAGAUAUCUAAAUGAUGAUUAUGGCAAAGUAUGGUUAAAU